Molecule: long non-coding RNA, 784 nt
Organism: Belonocnema kinseyi
Lineage: Eukaryota; Metazoa; Arthropoda; Insecta; Hymenoptera; Cynipidae
Exons: 3
Source: RefSeq, a predicted model, not a curated record
AAAUACAAUACCCUUUCAUUUUAGAACCUUACGAGCUGCAUUUCUCAAAUCUUAAAAGUGCCUUUUCGAAAAUUAUCUUGUUUUAUUUCGCGGAAACGAUUCGUAAAAAAGUUUUCCCUUUCCGGCAACUAUUUGAAAGCUUUCCAGAUAAUCAAUUAUUGUCGGUUUACUACAAUUAAUUACGGCCAGUUGAACUUUUAUGUGGCUCGUCGUCCCGACGAUACAUUUGAUGGAAGAUUUAUCGUCAGCCUCUGACUUUUGCGAAGCGUCCGGACUUGGCCAAGGAUAGUUUAACAUUCUUUCCCUAAUCACAAGUCUGCUCUGGAAUUCCUUCGGCUUCGAGGAAGCCUCGGUUGGUAGUAAUACUCGUUUUCUUCGCACACGAGUGAUAGGAGUGGUACUUGAAGUUGAACCAGUCGGCCUCGACGAUUUCUUCCAUCACAAUGUCAAUACGGAAAUUUAUCGUUACGCAUGCUGCCACAAAACCUAACACUUCAUCCGACCACCCAAAUCACAAUUAAAAAUAAAAAAAUUACACAAACUUAGUAAAAAGAAAUACUGUUUUGCACUGAAAAUCUUCUAAUUUUUGUAAUGCAAAAACUGACGGACAGGAGUUUACAACCCCAUCGAGUUCGCGGCUUUAUCGAAACUGUUGGUACGAAUAUGAAGAUAUUUUCGGCGCCGGCGUUUGGAACUUUCGGUCCAAACCACCCUCGUUUUCCCACGCACUAUGUAUUCAACGGGGUACAAAAGAUGUGGAUCGAGAAAUAAAAAAAAAGGAUUG